CCUACGGGAGGCAGCAGUAGGGAAUAUUGCUCAAUGGGCGUAACCCUGAACCAGCAAAGUCGCGUGGGGGAUGAAGGUCUUCGGGGUGUUAACUCCUUUUUUUAGGGAAGUAAAUGACGCUACCUAUCGAGUAAUCCCCGGCUAAAUCCGUGACAGCAUCCGCGAUAAAACUGCGGGAGCCAGCGUUACUCGGAAUCACUGGGCGUAAAUCGGGCGUAGGCUGGAUAGCAAGUCAGAUGGGAAAUCCUAUGGGUUAAACAUAGAACUGCAGUUGAAACUGGUAUUCUAGAGUAUGGGAGAGGUAGGUGGAAUUCGUGGUGUAGGGGUGAAAUGCGUAGAGAUCAAGAGGAAUACUGAUUGCGAAGGCGACCUGCUGGAACAUAACUGACGCUGAUGCGCGAAAGCGUGGGGAGCAAACAGGAUUAGAUACCCGUGUAGUC
Molecule: ribosomal RNA, 440 nt
Filed under: uncultured bacterium
Lineage: Bacteria
Description: partial 16S ribosomal RNA
Rfam family: Bacterial small subunit ribosomal RNA
Source: RNAcentral